This 1309-nucleotide ribosomal RNA is filed under the name uncultured Sebacina mycobiont of Dactylis glomerata. RNAcentral describes it as "eukaryotic LSU rRNA". The stretch from base 493 to 1309 matches the Rfam family "Eukaryotic large subunit ribosomal RNA", at positions 1 to 799 of the family's 3401-position model. The record is from RNAcentral. Lineage: Eukaryota; Fungi; Basidiomycota; Agaricomycetes; Sebacinales; Sebacinaceae.
CGCCUUUGGUCGCAAAUCCACACACACCUGUGCAUCUAUGACUCGAGGUUGUAAUGACUGAGAGUAACUUUUAUACACUCUUGUAUGUAAUGGAAUGUCUUUUUGUGCUAUAAUGUACAAUAUAAACAACUUUCAACAACGGAUCUCUUGGCUCUCGCAUCGAUGAAGAACGCAGCGAAAUGCGAUAAGUAAUGUGAAUUGCAGAAUUCAGUGAAUCAUCGAAUCUUUGAACGCACCUUGCACCCUUUGGUAUUCCGAAGGGUACGCCCGUUUGAGUGUCAUUGUAAUCUCACUUCUACAACUUUAUUGUUGUUUGAAUGUGGACUUGGAUGUUGCCGUUUUAUCACGGCUCGUCUUAAAUGCCUGAGUGUACCCUGUUUUGCAGCGUAUCCAGUGUAAUAAACAUUUCACUAGAGUUGGUUGAAAGACCACGUUGACUAUAUGGGCUCUAUGCUUCAAACCGUCUGCCAUGUGGACAAUUUCUUGACAAUUUGACCUCAAAUCGGGUGGGACUACCCGCUGAACUUAAGCAUAUCAAUAAGCGGAGGAAAAGAAACUAACAAGGAUUCCCCUAGUAACGGCGAGUGAAGAGGGAAAAGCUCAAAUUUUAAAUCUGGGUGUCUUUUGACUCCCGAGUUGUAAUCUAGAGAAGUGUUUUCCGUGUCGGACCGUGUACAAGUUCCCUGGAACGGGGCGUCAUAGAGGGUGAGAAUCCCGUAUAUGCCACGGACUACCGAUGCUCUGUGAUACACUCUCAACGAGUCGAGUUGUUUGGGAAUGCAGCUCAAAAUGGGUGGUAAAUUCCAUCUAAAGCUAAAUAUUGGCGAGAGACCGAUAGCGAACAAGUACCGUGAGGGAAAGAUGAAAAGCACUUUGGAAAGAGAGUGAAACAGUACGUGAAAUUGUUGAAAGGGAAGCGUUUGAAGUCAGUCGCAUCUGUUGGGGUUCAGCCUGGCUUUUGCCUGGUGUAUUUCCUUUCCGAUGGGUCAGCAUCAGUUUCGACCGAGGGAAAAAGACAUUUGGAAUGUGGCUGUCUUCGGGCAGUGUUAUAGCCUUGUGUUGUAUGUCUCGGUUGGGACUGAGGAUUGCAGCGCGCCAUAAAUGGCCGGGGGUCGCUCCUCUCGACACGCGCUUAGGAUGCUGGCAUAAUGGCUUUAAGCGACCCGUCUUGAAACACGGACCAAGGAGUCUAACAUGUGCGCGAGUGUUUGGGUGUAAAACCCGAGCGCGUAAUGAAAGUGAAAGGUCGGGAUCAUUCAUUUGUGCACCGACGCCCGGAGCUGACCUUCUGUGACGCAUCCGCGGUAGA